AUUGAACGCUGGCGGCAGGCCUAACACAUGCAAGUCGAGCGGAUGAAGGGAGCUUGCUCCUGGAUUCAGCGGCGGACGGGUGAGUAAUGCCUAGGAAUCUGCCUGGUAGUGGGGGAUAACGUCCGGAAACGGGCGCUAAUACCGCAUACGUCCUGAGGGAGAAAGUGGGGGAUCUUCGGACCUCACGCUAUCAGAUGAGCCUAGGUCGGAUUAGCUAGUUGGUGGGGUAAAGGCCUACCAAGGCGACGAUCCGUAACUGGUCUGAGAGGAUGAUCAGUCACACUGGAACUGAGACACGGUCCAGACUCCUACGGGAGGCAGCAGUCGGGAAUAUUGGACAAUGGGCGAAAGCCUGAUCCAGCCAUGGCGCGUGUGUGAAGAAGGUCGUCGGAUUGUAAAGCACUUUAAGUUGGGAGGAAGGGCAGUAAGUUAAUACCUUGCUGUUUUGACGUUACCAACAGAAUAAGCACCGGCUAACUUCGUG
Molecule: ribosomal RNA, 484 nt
Filed under: uncultured bacterium
Lineage: Bacteria
Description: partial 16S ribosomal RNA
Rfam family: Bacterial small subunit ribosomal RNA
Source: RNAcentral